This is a long non-coding RNA of Phasianus colchicus (ring-necked pheasant), 1804 nucleotides long. Lineage: Eukaryota; Metazoa; Chordata; Aves; Galliformes; Phasianidae. The record is from Ensembl.
UUUGUUAGACUGACAUAAAGUCCUUCAGGAAAUACAUGAAGAUGGAUGAGACCUACUGAAAAAUCUUCUGCAUUCUCUUUCGUCUGGAAGUCUUACCAGUGUAUAUGACUCCCUGAUCGUGGUAGCUCAUCUGUCUGCAUUGAAUGCAUUUUCAAAAACAUAAUGCUUUUUCAUUGCCAGUAAUAGUAACAAAUCUGCUCUGAUGCUGGAGUAUCAGCAAGUGAAGAAAAUUUCUCUACUAAAAGUUUUGAUGUAAUAGAAAAUGUUGGCAUGACCUCUACUGACAGAAAAGAAGUUCUCCUCAACGGUUUUUAAUAUGCAGAGAAAUGAGAGUUCAGCUAAAAAGCUGCAUAUGCAGAAAUGCCUCUCAUUUACUCAUGUUGACACAGCAUCGGUUUCAGGAAUUUCUGAAAAUCUUAAAGUUAGCAAAGAACCUGAAGCACAGAUUUUAAACUACAAUCUAGAGAUACCACCUCAAGCCCAAGUCAUAUCAGUACCACUUUCUUGUUUCUCACCUAUAAUGCAGCAACUGAUAUCUACCAGAAUUAAACACGUCUCUGAAGUAAGGGAGGCUACAGAAAUACCAACUGUUACUUAUAUUUGGCCAGUAUUAAAGAUAGGAGAGGCUUGCAAAUGCUCCUGGGGCAGACUUCCAAAUUCCUUAAUAUCAAACAGCCCAAACAUAGCAAGGCGCUGCUCUAGUCCUGAUGUAGUAACUGAAGAUGUAACGUGUUCCCAAGUAACCCCAGUGAAACAGCCCGUACAAGGAGAACACAGCAGCAAGACAACAAAAUCAUAUCCUCUUAUUUUAAAGUCUUCCAAUACUGUUGUUUCAGGAAUUCUGAGAUCAUUGGCUAAUGCUGAGAAUAAGGAUUAUAAGAAUAUUUUACCACUUUCAUCUAUUAGCCCUAUUGGAAAGAAAGUGAAAAUUCCAUUUAAGGAAAAUGCUAUGAUAAUUCAUAAUGGAGAAGUCUACAUCCCUUACAUAAUAAGACAUGAAACUUCAUCAACAGGAAUGGAAAUACACAGUCAAGAUCCGUUGCUCAGGAAGAUCACAGUUUCUUUCAUUACUUGCAGAAUUAUCCGUGAAAGGACAGAACAGUUCCUCAAGAAGGCUGCUUUCCCAUCUGAAGAACUACAAAAUAGAAAUGAGAGAGAAGCACAGCAUAAAAUAGACAAAGAACUAAGAAAGAAAUCUGGUGGUGUUAAAGAUAUAAGAAUACAUCUCAAGAGGAUAAAUUCCAGUGAACUUAAAGAAGAUUUUGGCAAAGCUUCUACAUUUAAAUGGAAGUUCCCCAAGAAGGCUACUUCCCCAUCUGAAGAAUCACAAAGAAGAACUGAGAGAGUAGCGCAACAGAAAGAAGACAAUGAACUAAGAAGGAAAUUUGGUAUUGUUAAAGAUAUAAGAAUCCAUCUCAAGAGGUUAAAAUUUCCACGUGAUUCAGUUGUUUAUCUGCAGCAAAGUUAGCAAUCAGUAACAAAUUACUGUUUCUCUUUGAUCUAUUAUCUCUUGUUCAGUCUGUAGGGUUCAAGUCACAUUUUGUCAGCUAAACCUUAAACUAAUGUCUACUGCUCCUUCCACGAUCUUUGAGAAACUUUUGUUGUCCCGAAGUGAAAACUACAUUGAUGUACACUCAUGAAAAUUCAUGAAAACGUGCUAUAACUUUUUGUGAAAUAUUUCAAGGCCAGAUAAAGCAAAACUUUCCAGAGUAUGUUAAAAGAGCACAGAUAUGAAUUACUUCUCUUUUUUCCUUUCUGCCACUACCAAAAUAAAGCAUCNNNNNNAAAAAAAAAAAAAAAAAAA